RNAcentral lists this ribosomal RNA (468 nucleotides) under uncultured bacterium. RNAcentral describes it as "partial 16S ribosomal RNA". It matches the Rfam family "Bacterial small subunit ribosomal RNA", at positions 28 to 507 of the family's 1533-position model. The record is from RNAcentral.
GACGAACGCUGGCGGCGUGCUUAACACAUGCAAGUCGAACGGAAAGGCCCUGCUUUUGUGGGGUGCUCGAGUGGCGAACGGGUGAGUAACACGUGAGUAACCUGCCCUUGACUUUGGGAUAACUUCAGGAAACUGGGGCUAAUACCGGAUAGGAGCUCCUGCUGCAUGGUGGGGGUUGGAAAGUUUCGGCGGUUGGGGAUGGACUCGCGGCUUAUCAGCUUGUUGGUGGGGUAGUGGCUUACCAAGGCUUUGACGGGUAGCCGGCCUGGGAGGGUGACCGGCCACAUUGGGACUGAGAUACGGCCCAGACUCCUACGGGAGGCAGCAGUGGGGAAUAUUGCACAAGGGGCGGAAGCCUGAUGCAGCAACGCCGCGUGCGGGAUGACGGCCUUCGGGUUGUAAACCGCUUUCGCCUGUGACGAAGCGUGAGUGACGGUAAUGGGUAAAGAAGCACCGGCUAACUACGUG